AGUUUGAUCAUGGCUCAGAUUGAACGCUGGCGGCAGGCUUAACACAUGCAAGUCGAGCGGGGAAAGGUAGCUUGCUACUUUACCUAGCGGCGGACGGGUGAGUAAUGCUUAGGAAUCUGCCUAUUAGUGGGGGACAACAUCUCGAAAGGGAUGCUAAUACCGCAUACGUCCUACGGGAGAAAGCAGGGGACCUUCGGGCCUUGCGCUAAUAGAUGAGCCUAAGUCGGAUUAGCUAGUUGGUGGGGUAAAGGCCUACCAAGGCGACGAUCUGUAGCGGGUCUGAGAGGAUGAUCCGCCACACUGGGACUGAGACACGGCCCAGACUCCUACGGGAGGCAGCAGUGGGGAAUAUUGGACAAUGGGGGGAACCCUGAUCCAGCCAUGCCGCGUGUGUGAAGAAGGCCUUUUGGUUGUAAAGCACUUUAAGCGAGGAGGAGGCUACCGAGAUUAAUACUCUUGGAUAGUGGACGUUACUCGCAGAAUAAGCACCGGCUAACUCUGUGCCAGCAGCCGCGGUAAUACAGAGGGUGCAAGCGUUAAUCGGAUUUACUGGGCGUAAAGCGCGCGUAGGUGGCCAAUUAAGUCAAAUGUGAAAUCCCCGAGCUUAACUUGGGAAUUGCAUUCGAUACUGGUUGGCUAGAGUAUGGGAGAGGAUGGUAGAAUUCCAGGUGUAGCGGUGAAAUGCGUAGAGAUCUGGAGGAAUACCGAUGGCGAAGGCAGCCAUCUGGCCUAAUACUGACACUGAGGUGCGAAAGCAUGGGGAGCAAACAGGAUUAGAUACCCUGGUAGU
RNAcentral lists this ribosomal RNA (790 nucleotides) under uncultured bacterium. RNAcentral's name for it is "bacterial SSU rRNA". It matches the Rfam family "Bacterial small subunit ribosomal RNA", at positions 10 to 794 of the family's 1533-position model. The record is from RNAcentral.